GAUACUGCUCUGUGUUCUUGCACAUGCUUGUGAAAUGUGGUGUGUCAACUCCACCGGGGGUUUGCCAAGAAGCGUCUACACAAGCACAUCACGACUGCCCAGCAUGGGAGUUGUAAAAAAUGGCCUGAGCAUGGCAAUUUCCCAAAUGAACCCCACAAAUUUGUUUCCCGUUGCCAUGGAAAUGUGGUCAGAGCCCAGUUUGGAACUUUUUUUCCAUGGCAGCGCUGUGUGUGUGUGAGAGAGAGGGAGGGAUUCUGGGAGCAAUUACUGAGCGGGAAUUCGGGCUAGGAUGGGGAAGAGGAGGAGACACAGCGGCUAAGAAUGUCUGAGUGAAAGAAAGAAACUGAAGGAGUCAAAGAAAGAUUUCCCGCUCUGUGUGAAAAAGAAAAGAAACGUAAAGUGUGUGAUGCGAGUUUUUGCAGAAACUAGAAAAGAACGGGAUUAAAAAGAAAAGUGGAGUUUAAAAACGUUUUUAUAGACACUUUUCUCAUUCUGUUUUCAGUGCAAAUGCAUAUAUUCAGUGAAUUGCAUAACAGUCAAACACCAAAGUUUGAGCCUGUGAAAUGAAUUGAAAUGUACACACUUAUUUAGCAAAAUAAGCAAAAAAAAGUUGCAAAAUAAAAAGAGAGUGAACUGUAGAUUGAAACGGUGGGUUGGACAGUACAAUACAUGUCAUGAAGGUCGAGUCCUUAUCACAGCAGCAUGGUUUUAAUUCUUACCUGAUUUUUUACACUGUAUGUUUGAGUCUUUUCCAUCUUUUCCAAUGUCUGUCAGUCUUCAGUUUAAAGGUAAACUGGCCUAAAAUAAUCUGUAUACUGCAGUAUAUGCAGUCAGCUCAAACAAUAACCAAGAGAGUACUAAUGCCAGACAGAAGACAGGAACGCUCCAGAAAAGGUCAUAUACAACAAAAUAAUGUUGUGCUUACAAUAUCAGCUCCAAAACAAGACAAAUUUGGUACAAUGUAGCAACCUACUAUGAAAUCCACUCGCUUCGUUAGACCAGCAGCUUUCUUGGGAAAAUCUUACUUUUUUAUUUAUUUAUUUAUUUAUUUAUUGCAAUGUCAAGAGUUUUUUCUAUCUUAAAGAGAAGUUCAGCGGAGUUGCAGAGACUCUCCAGGAGGUUGGAUCUGGAAGCGGAAAAAGCCUAAAGGUCAGGCAUUAUGGGGGACAAUAAGGGCUUUGGCUGAUUUUCCUGAGACCUGAGGAUUUUGAAAAUCGUUUUCCUUUUUCCUUGUUAUCUUAUCUUAUCUUAUCUUAGACAUGUUAUCUUUUUUAUGUAUGUUGACAUGUUUCGGCAGAAACUUCUGCCAUCCUCAGAAGUGUCACUUGGUGGUAGGUGUGACACGUCAUAUCAGAUGGUGUUAUACACACCUUGAGCAGCGUCCUGCAGGGGCGAACAGACAGGUGUGACCCUCCCGUCAAAAAAAAUUGACAGGAGGGUAACGCCUCCGUAACACCAGCUGAUAUGUCACAACUACCACCAAGUGACACUUCUGAGGAUGGCAGAAGUUUCUGCCGAAACAUGUCGAGGUACAUGAAAAGAUAACAGGUCUCGGAUAAAGGGAGAAAAAAAAAAGAUUUUUAAGAAACUGAAGACAUAAUGAUCAUCAUUCAACAGCUGAGGAUAUUAGAGCUGUUUGCCUGGCAGCUUGACUCCUCCUCUUUGCAGGUGUUUUGUUGCAUCUGUUGCUAAUUGAAAAAUUGCUGCUGUAGUGCAUCUCGACAGCAGAAUCUAUACUUUCUUUCUCUGGCCUGCACAAACAUGGUUAAAUGAUUAAUGUUAUGAUCAAUGUAAAGAUCAAGGUUUUCAGUCAUGAUUGUUAAUUAUUACUGAAAUUCGAAGGAGAGUGUUUCAUUACUGUUGUGCAGAACUUUUAUUUAGGGCCCUCAGUGCACACACUAAAUUUUGUGGAGCUAGGCUUUGUAGUCAUGGUUACAAACCCCCAGUAUUAUGGCUUUACGCAGAGUUAUUUAUUGGUUGAUUUUUAAAGGUAGCACUUUCAAUAGAUCACAAAUUUCUAAAAAAGGUUUUCCUUUCCAGAAACCAAUGCCUGUUGCACUAAGACCAUGUUUUAUGCAGUUAACUGGCUAAAAGGUUGGUGUGCAUGCAACAACAGAUUACAAAGAACUAUGAUUUCUGUCUGUCUUAUACUCCCUUCAAAUUUUAUUCCAGUGAAUUAAAGGAACUUUAUCUCAAAACGUGCUCCCAUGCGUCAGACUCUGACCUCACCACAUUUCAAAGCUGCUCCUCCCAUCCCUGAGUAAUCGUAUAUGUUCAUCCUAACUGAACUAACUCCCACCCUAUAGUGUUUUCCCUGCUGACACGCCUUUCUGAGCCUUCCUGUUACAUCCUUGUACCUCUUUUUUCUCAGUCAGUGACAACAAACACACGUCAAAAGAAAACAUGAGGUUCCCAUUCAAGACUCUUCCCCUUUUGGUUCUAUAAAUUAAGACGUCCUGUCUCCACCCGGCAGCUUACACAAUAAUCAGUCUUCAUUUACAGUUUUUCCCCCCAACUCCUCAAAGUUUAAUCCAUGACUAUAAAAUCCCUCUGCUCCACCUGGUCUCUCUAUUCUGAGCUCAUCUAACCUACAAACACACACACUUUCUCUCCGUCUUGGAAUAACCUAACAGAAACAAACUCUGUUGGGUUUCACCGCUGUUAGGUAAUAGCCAAAACAACUUCCUGACCUCUUAUAACUCUCUGCACCAUUCAGAACCCUGCUUCACUUUUCAGCCUGGAAAGUCAGAUAUUAUAGGAAUUGAAAUACAGAUUUUGUUUAGUAAUUCAUGGAGUUUAUGAUACAGUUUUCUGCCAUCUGUCAAGCUUUUGCUAGCUGCUCAGACUGUAUGUUGAACUAAGUGAACUAUCUCCGGCCUGUUUCUCUCUUUGCAAGAACUCAAAUAUUAACUCCUGACAUGAUAACCCAGUUUUUUAGAGGGAUAGUCCAGUUUUCGACAGUGAGAUCACAUGAGGUUAACGUUAUCUGGAGGAUGGAGGACAAACUGUUAGUGGUAGUGUGUUGCUGCCUGAGCUCUAUGAUAUAACAAGGUCUUGAUAUUCAAAGGGGAAUACAAAGGAGCUGUAAGGAUGCAAGUGAGUGAGCGAACGCUGAAUGAUAACUCGAUACACAGUCACUGGCAUCACAAUUUGUUUGUGCAGCUGAUUUUUAAUGCCAAUGUGCAUUGGUCACCAACCUAACAUUUGGUCAACCUUCAGGAGGUGGACCUUUAGCCUCCUGAGACAACCUGUCAGUCAGGCCAAAUGUGAAUAUUUGAUUAUAUCCUAAAAGAUAAAGUCUUUGGUCUCUGAUGUAAAUUAACUGUUUGCAAAAUCUUAACCUAAAAACUGGAUGUUUGCAGAAAUUGCAAUGUCAUCUACUUUCAUCAGCAUAAUAUGGGUAAAAAUAUAAAAAUAUUUCUUUCUUUGCACAUAACCUACAAAGUUGCAAAAUGUUCAGACUACAUGUUUCUGCAAAAGUACAUUGGUUCUGUGUUACAUCUGUUCUGUGUUACUAAAGCGUCUUUGACCUUUUUUUGUUUGUUUGCAAAGUUACAUCAUUCAAAAACUUGAUCGAGUUUUAAAUUCAGUUUAUAUUUGAAUUUAGCCAAAGUACAGUCUCUGAAGUCCUAAUCUUAGCCAGAAUACUUUGGCUGCUCAAACACAACCUC
This is a non-coding RNA of Xyrichtys novacula (pearly razorfish), 3671 nucleotides long. The record is from the annotation of a GenBank genome assembly. Lineage: Eukaryota; Metazoa; Chordata; Actinopteri; Labriformes; Labridae.